Molecule: ribosomal RNA, 496 nt
Filed under: uncultured bacterium
Lineage: Bacteria
Description: partial 16S ribosomal RNA
Rfam family: Bacterial small subunit ribosomal RNA
Source: RNAcentral
GACGAACGCUGGCGGCGUGCCUAAUACAUGCAAGUCGAGCGAACGGAUGAGAAGCUUGCUUCUCUGAUGUUAGCCGCGGACGGGUGAGUAACACGUGGAUAACCUACCUAUAAGACUGGUAUAACUACGGGAAACCGGAGCUAAUACCGGAUAAUAUUUUGAACCGCAUGGUUCAAAAGUGAAAGACGGUCUUUCUGUCACUUAUAGAUGGAUCCGCGCUGCAUUGUCUAGUUGGUAAGGUAACGGCUUACUAAGGCAAAGAUGCAUAGCCGAGCUGAGAGGGUGAUCGGCCACAGAGGAACUGAGACACGGUCCAGGCACCUAGGGGAGGCAGCAGUAGGGACUCUUCCGGAAUGGGCGAAAGCCUGACGAAGCGACGCCGCGUGAGUGAAGAAGGUCUUCGGAUCGUAAAACGCUGUUAUUAGGGUAGAACAUAUGUGCAAGUAACUGUGCACAUCUUGACGGUACCUAAUAAGAAAGACCCGGUUAACUCCGU